CCUGAAUUCGAAAGGGGUUGGAUUCAGAUCCUACCGUUCGCAUACUAGGCAGCCCCACUGCGGAUGGUGCCGGUCGCCCGCGGCGAUUAAUUUCGUUUGCGGUGUCGUUUCUGGCGUCCACCCGGUGGUGGCUGACCACCUUCGCGGAGGGUCGCACUUCUCCCCUAGUAGAAACGUCGCGACCCGUUGGGUGCCGGCCGAAGGCCCGGGAAGGAAGCCCGCGCAUCCUGUGGUGGUUGCCACAGGCGUGCGGACUCCCGGUGACCCGGCCGGCUGCCCGACGGUAUGACCAGAGGAGCCGAUCCGCUGAAUGGGAAACACUGUGGUUUGUGAAGCGUGCGGCCUGGCGCCGAUACGUGCGGGGAUUGAGGUGUAAACCGGGGGUGCCCGUGCGAAGCACGGUCCCGGCCCCGCUGCGUCGUCGGUUGCCGGUGUCCUCGCACUGGAUCGAUACUCCCGUCUGCGACGCCCAUCUUCGGAUGGUCUCCCGC
RNAcentral lists this ribosomal RNA (491 nucleotides) under Phyllium jacobsoni. RNAcentral describes it as "partial 28S ribosomal RNA". Lineage: Eukaryota; Metazoa; Arthropoda; Insecta; Phasmatodea; Phylliidae. The record is from RNAcentral.